CUCUUCGGUUAAUACCCGGAGACGAUGACAUUAGCUGCAGAAUAAGCACCGGCUAACUCUGUGCCAGCAGCCGCGGUAAUACAGAGGGUGCAAGCGUUAAUCGGAAUUACUGGGCGUAAAGCGAGCGUAGGUGGCUUGAUAAGUCAGAUGUGAAAGCCCCGGGCUUAACCUGGGAACGGCAUCUGAUACUGUUAGGCUAGAGUAGGUGAGAGGAAGGUAGAAUUCCAGGUGUAGCGGUGAAAUGCGUAGAGGUCUGGAGGAAUACCGAUGGCGAAGGCAGCCUUCUAGCAUCAUACUGACACUGAGGUUCGAAAGCGUGGGUAGCAAACAGGAUUAGAUACCCUGGUAGUCCACGCCGUAAACGAUGUC
This 369-nucleotide ribosomal RNA is filed under the name uncultured Psychrobacter sp. RNAcentral's name for it is "bacterial SSU rRNA". It matches the Rfam family "Bacterial small subunit ribosomal RNA", at positions 449 to 813 of the family's 1533-position model. Lineage: Bacteria; Pseudomonadati; Pseudomonadota; Gammaproteobacteria; Moraxellales; Moraxellaceae. The record is from RNAcentral.